CAGGGAAUUCUUGCGCAAUGGGGCGAAAGCCUGACGCAGCGACGCCGCGUGGGGGAAGAAGGCCUUAGGGUUGUAAACCCCUUUUCUGGGGGAAGAGCAAGGACGGUACCCCAGGAAUAAGCCUCGGCUAACUACGUGCCAGCAGCCGCGGUAAUACGUAGGAGGCAAGCGUUGUCCGGAUUUACUGGGCGUAAAGGGCGUGUAGGCGGUUUGGGCAGUCCCUUGUGAAAUCUCCCGGCUCAACCGGGAGCGGUCGAGGGAUACUUCCAAGCUAGAGGGCAGUAGAGGAGAGCGGAAUUCCCGGUGUAGUGGUGAAAUGCGUAGAUAUCGGAAGGAACACCCGUGGCGAAAGCGACUCUCUGGACUGAUCCUGACACUGAGGUGCGAAAGCGUGGGGAGCAAACCGGAUUAGAUACCCUGGUAGUCCACGCCUUAAACUAUGUCUGCUGGGUAUUGGAAGUCUUGACCUCUUAUGGGCGCAACUUACGCAUUAAGUUGACCGCCUGGGGAACACCGGCGCCAGGGUA
Molecule: ribosomal RNA, 527 nt
Filed under: uncultured bacterium
Lineage: Bacteria
Description: bacterial SSU rRNA
Rfam family: Bacterial small subunit ribosomal RNA
Source: RNAcentral